RNAcentral lists this ribosomal RNA (253 nucleotides) under uncultured bacterium. Its description in RNAcentral is "partial 16S ribosomal RNA". It matches the Rfam family "Bacterial small subunit ribosomal RNA", at positions 524 to 776 of the family's 1533-position model. The record is from RNAcentral.
UACGUAGGGGGCAAGCGUUGUCCGGAUUUAUUGGGCGUAAAGAGCGUGUAGGCGGCUUGGUAGGUCCGCUGUGAAAACUCGAGGCUCAACCUCGAGAUGUCGGCGGAAACCACUUGGCUAGAGUCCGGAAGAGGAGAGUGGAAUUCCCGGUGUAGCGGUGAAAUGCGUAGAGAUCGGGAGGAACACCAGUGGCGCAAGCGGCCCCCAAGCCUGAACCUGACGCUGAAGCGCGACAGCGUGGGGAGCAAACGGG